Molecule: long non-coding RNA, 847 nt
Organism: Drosophila simulans
Lineage: Eukaryota; Metazoa; Arthropoda; Insecta; Diptera; Drosophilidae
Exons: 3
Source: RefSeq, a predicted model, not a curated record
CAUAAGAGAACGACGAUAACCGCAUACUUUCAUUUGAUCCUCCUGAUCUGGAUUUAAUAGUCCAGUACAUGGUUUUGAAACUACAAAUAAAAAUUGGAAAGACAAUUAAAAAUGUUGAACGGCGUGUUACAAAUAUUUUUUGGCGUGCUUAUAAAAAUUGGAUAGACAAAGGAAAAAACAAUAAACUAGACAAACCAGUGCGGCAUCUACGACUCUAGAAUCAAAGAAAUUAAGGUAGAAUUACUGAGUUUCUGCCAUUAGUUUUAAUAACGUAUUACUGUCUCUAUUCUAUGGAAAUUAAAAUAGAAACACUGUUCCAAUAUUAAAAUAUAGCAAGGAUCUAAAAAUGCCGAGGUUAUUUAGUAUUACACACAGUAGGACUCUUAAUGUACACAAAAUGCAAUGAUUGCUAUCAACCUGCACUAAGGCAGCAAAGAGAGUAGUCGCAUGACAGUUCCUCUAGUCAUGGUUGUCUCGGUAAGAGUUUUUCCCUAAUUAUAGCUACAUUCAUAUGCAUAUGUACAUACAUAUGCAGGUCCAGCAGAUCAAAACAAUGUUUAAUGCUAAAGUGUAAAUCCAUAAAUGACCAGUUCUGCAAAGUGAUUUGCAUCAAGUUAUUGUUAUUCAAUCUCAUAUUCAUUCAUAUUCAUCUCAUAAUUCAUUUCUGAUUAUUAUUAGAAAGAAGUAGUUAAAUUGGCAAUGGACACUAAAGAGUGGACAAAGCACUCUGAAAAUUCGUAAAAACAUUAAACUAACGCAUAAAAUGUGAGCUAUACAUGAAGAAAUUAGUUGAUAACACUCUUUUGUACAUGAAAUUAAACAUAAUAAAAAAAAUUCUAAUAAAAAA